This 449-nucleotide ribosomal RNA is filed under the name uncultured bacterium. RNAcentral's name for it is "bacterial SSU rRNA". It matches the Rfam family "Bacterial small subunit ribosomal RNA", at positions 329 to 792 of the family's 1533-position model. The record is from RNAcentral.
UGCCAGACUCCUACGGGAGGCAGCAGUGGAGAAUAUUGGGCAAUGGGCGCAAGCCUGACCCAGCAACGCCGCGUGAAGGAAGAAGGCUUUCGGGUUGUAAACUUCUUUUAUCAAGGACGAAACAAAUGACGGUACUUGAUGAAUAAGCCACGGCUAACUACGUGCCAGCAGCCGCGGUAAUACGUAGGUGGCAAGCGUUAUCCGGAUUUACUGGGUGUAAAGGGCGUGUAGGCGGGACUGCAAGUCAGAUGUGAAAACCAUGGGCUCAACCCACGGCCUGCAUUUGAAACUGUAGUUCUUGAGUGUUGGAGAGGCAGGCGGAAUUCCGUGCGUAGCGGUGAAAUGCGUAGAUAUACGGAGGAACACCAGUGGCGAAGGCGGCCUGCUGGACAAUAACUGACGCUGAGGCGCGAAAGCGUGGGGAGCAAACAGGAUUAGAUACCCGAGUA